This is a long non-coding RNA of Sinocyclocheilus grahami, 731 nucleotides long. RefSeq lists it as uncharacterized. The record is from RefSeq and is a predicted model, not a curated record. Lineage: Eukaryota; Metazoa; Chordata; Actinopteri; Cypriniformes; Cyprinidae. The transcript has 4 exons.
UGAUCAGAAUACAAGUACAACAUGCGCUUCAUGCCCUGCGAUGACUUACACUAACUCUCCUAACGGAUUGACAGAAUGUUUGCCAUGUUUAGUCUGUGACACAAGUAAUGCGCUGAGAGUAAAGCAGGCAUGUACAUUAAUAUCAAAUACAGUUUGUGAACCUCUGUCAGGUUAUUACUGUAUAGACUUGCUCUCAAGCUGUAAAAAGGCCGUGAAAUAUUCAACCUGCUCACCCGGACAAUACAUCAACCAAACAGGAACAGAAUUCACUGAUACAGUGUCCGGUUGGUUCAUAUUCAGAUGAUACAUUCUGCAAAUUGCAUACAAACUGUGAAUCUCUUGGCAAAAUAACCAUCAGGGAAGGAACCGACACGACUGAUGCGGAGUGCAGCAAUGGAGCACCUUCUUAUUUAUUACCACUCAUUCUGGCUGUGUGUGUGCUGGUGUUAUUCAUAACUCUGAUUAUUGUCAAGAAAAUAAACUGCAAAUAUGCUGGAGUAAAUUGAGUUACAAACCAAAUGAUCUAAACUAUGUGUCCCAUCCUUCUUCAUGUUCAAUCCAGCUGCUCAACCAUCAGACCAAGCUAUAUUUACUCACUUAACUUUGUAUAAUUGUCAAGCGAAAUAUAUUCUUUUUAAAACAGACCUUAUAAUAAUCUUCAGUCAUGCUUCUUGACCUACAGAAGCCAUUGUUGCCAAGCAUGAUUUUAAACGAGCACAUUCAAUUAAAUG